RNAcentral lists this transfer RNA (67 nucleotides) under Hebardina formosana. RNAcentral describes it as "tRNA-Arg". The record is from RNAcentral. Lineage: Eukaryota; Metazoa; Arthropoda; Insecta; Blattodea; Blattidae.
AAGUAAGAAGCAAUUAAUUGCAAUCAGUUUCGACCUGAUAAUUAGGUAAUUAUUUUACCCUCACUUA